RNAcentral lists this ribosomal RNA (834 nucleotides) under uncultured bacterium. RNAcentral describes it as "bacterial SSU rRNA". It matches the Rfam family "Bacterial small subunit ribosomal RNA", at positions 26 to 896 of the family's 1533-position model. The record is from RNAcentral.
AGAACGAACGUUGGCGGCGUGGAUUAGGCAUGCAAGUCGCGGGAAUCACAGCAAUGUGGGAACCGGCGUAAGGGGCAGUAAUGCGUGGGUAUCUACCCUCCGGUCUGGCAUAGCCCUUCGAGAGAAGGGGUAAUUCCAGAUGAUGUCGUGAGACCAAAGGUCCGCCGCCGGGGGAGGAGCCCACGUGAUAUUAGGUAGUUGGUGAGGUAAUGGCUCACCAAGCCAUAGAUGUCUAGCGGGUGUGAGAGCACGACCCGCGCCACUGGCACUGAGACACUGGCCAGACACCUACGGGUGGCUGCAGUCGAGGAUCUUCGGCAAUGGGGGCAACCCUGACCGAGCGACGCCGCGUGGAGGAUGAAGGCCUUCGGGUUGUAAACUCCUGUCGAGGGGGAGGAAGGGGCAACCUUGACCGAUCCCUGGAGGAAGCACGGGCUAAGUUCGUGCCAGCAGCCGCGGUAAGACGAACCGUGCGAACGUUGUUCGGAAUCACUGGGCUUAAAGGGCGCGUAGGCGGAGGGUGUAGUCGGUGGUGAAAUCCUCCAGCUCAACUGGAGAAUGGCCUCCGAUACUGACUCUCUCGAGGGAGGUAGGGGCAUGUGGAACUCAGGGUGGAGCGGUGAAAUGCGUAGAUAUCCUGAGGAACGCCGGUGGCGAAAGCGACGUGCUGGACCUCUUCUGACGCUGAGGCGCGAAAGCCAGGGGAGCAAACGGGAUUAGAUACCCCGGUAGUCCUGGCCCUAAACGUUGGGUACUAGAUUGCGGACUUACAUGGGUUCGCAGUCGAAGCUAAUGUUUUAAGUACCCCGCCUGGGGAGUAUGGUCGCAAGGCUG